This 1098-nucleotide ribosomal RNA is filed under the name uncultured Synechococcus sp. Its description in RNAcentral is "bacterial SSU rRNA". It matches the Rfam family "Bacterial small subunit ribosomal RNA", at positions 56 to 1216 of the family's 1533-position model. The record is from RNAcentral. Lineage: Bacteria; Bacillati; Cyanobacteriota; Cyanophyceae; Synechococcales; Synechococcaceae.
UGCAAGUCGAACGAACCUUCGGGUUAGUGGCGGACGGGUGAGUAACGCGUGAGAAUCUGCCCUCAGGAGGGGGACAACAGCUGGAAACGGCUGCUAAUACCCCAUAUGCCGCGAGGUGAAAUGAAUUUCGCCUGAGGAUGAGCUCGCGUCUGAUUAGCUAGUUGGUGUAGGUAAUGGCUCACCAAGGCAUCGAUCAGUAGCUGGUCUGAGAGGAUGAUCAGCCACACUGGGACUGAGACACGGCCCAGACUCCUACGGGAGGCAGCAGUGGGGAAUUUUCCGCAAUGGGCGAAAGCCUGACGGAGCAACGCCGCGUGAGGGAUGAAGGCCUCUGGGCUGUAAACCUCUUUUAUCAAGGAAGAAGAUCUGACGGUACUUGAUGAAUAAGCCACGGCUAAUUCCGUGCCAGCAGCCGCGGUAAUACGGGAGUGGCAAGCGUUAUCCGGAAUUAUUGGGCGUAAAGCGUCCGCAGGCGGCCCUUCAAGUCUGCUGUUAAAAAGUGGAGCUUAACUCCAUCAUGGCAGUGGAAACUGUUGGGCUUGAGUGUGGUAGGGGCAGAGGGAAUUCCCGGUGUAGCGGUGAAAUGCGUAGAUAUCGGGAAGAACACCAGUGGCGAAGGCGCUCUGCUGGGCCAUCACUGACGCUCAUGGACGAAAGCCAGGGGAGCGAAAGGGAUUAGAUACCCCUGUAGUCCUGGCCGUAAACGAUGAACACUAGGUGUCGGGGGAAUCGACCCCCUCGGUGUCGUAGCCAACGCGUUAAGUGUUCCGCCUGGGGAGUACGCACGCAAGUGUGAAACUCAAAGGAAUUGACGGGGGCCCGCACAAGCGGUGGAGUAUGUGGUUUAAUUCGAUGCAACGCGAAGAACCUUACCAGGGUUUGACAUCCUGCGAAUCUCUUGGAAACAGGAGAGUGCCUUCGGGAACGCAGUGACAGGUGGUGCAUGCUGUCGUCAGCUCGUGUCGUGAGAUGUUGGUUAAGUCCCGCAACGAGCGCAACCCACGUCUUUAGUUGCAGCAUUUAGUGGUACUCUAGAAGACUGCUGUGAUAACCGAGAGGUGUGAUGACGUCAGUCAUCAUGCCCUUACAUCCUGGCUA